UCUAAAACCGUACGAAUAUUAUUUGAGUUUUAACAUUGAUGGUUUGGUUGUUUAAGUUAAUGAUCUCAAGGUCAUGAAGGUCAUUUGAUAUUUUUAAUUUACAUUUUAUAAUGUAAAUUCGGGUUUUCGCAAGAUUUCAAAAUUUGCACGAAAUCUUUAGGAAUUGCCUGUUAAUUUUUGAAAAUCUGGAAAUACAAUUCUCCGAUCAAUUAGCGUCCUAUAAAUUUCUGUACAGCUAAUAAAAUCUGUAGUUUCUGA
RNAcentral lists this long non-coding RNA (258 nucleotides) under Mytilus galloprovincialis (Mediterranean mussel). The record is from RNAcentral. Lineage: Eukaryota; Metazoa; Mollusca; Bivalvia; Mytilida; Mytilidae.